AGUGAACGCUGGCGGUAGGCCUAACACAUGCAAGUCGAACGGCAGCACAGUAAGAGCUUGCUCUUACGGGUGGCGAGUGGCGGACGGGUGAGGAAUACAUCGGAAUCUACUUUUUCGUGGGGGAUAACGUAGGGAAACUUACGCUAAUACCGCAUACGACCUAUGGGUGAAAGCAGGGGAUCUUCGGACCUUGCUCGAUUGAAUGAGCCGAUGUCGGCUUAGCUAGUUGGCGGGGUAAAGGUCCACCAAGGCGACGAUCCGUAGCUGGUCUGAGAGGAUGAUCGGGCACACUGGAACUGAGACACGGUCCAGACUCCUAAGGGAGGCAGCAGUGGGGAAUAUUGGGCAAGGGGCGCAAGACUGAUCCAGCCAUACCGCGUGGGUGAAGAAGGACUUCGGGUUGUAAAGCCCUUUUGUUGGGAAAGAAAAGCAGCAGGUUAAUAACCCGAUGUUCUGACGGUACCCAAAGAAUAAGCACCGGCUAACUUCGUG
RNAcentral lists this ribosomal RNA (492 nucleotides) under uncultured bacterium. Its description in RNAcentral is "partial 16S ribosomal RNA". It matches the Rfam family "Bacterial small subunit ribosomal RNA", at positions 29 to 507 of the family's 1533-position model. The record is from RNAcentral.